AGAGCGAACGCUGGCGGCAUGCCUAACACAUGCAAGUCGCACGGUCCGGGGGCAACCUCGGGCAGUGGCGGACGGGUGAGGAACGCGUAGGGAUCUAUCCAUGGGUGGGGGACAACCGCGGGAAACUGCGGCUAAUACCGCAUGACGAGCGUGCCCGAGAGGGCAUGUUCCAAAGUUCGCAAGAGCGCCUGUGGCGGAGCCUGCGUCCGAUUAGCUUGUUGGUGGGUGAUGGCCUACCAAGGCGACGACGGGUA
RNAcentral lists this ribosomal RNA (254 nucleotides) under uncultured bacterium. Its description in RNAcentral is "partial small subunit ribosomal RNA". It matches the Rfam family "Bacterial small subunit ribosomal RNA", at positions 26 to 285 of the family's 1533-position model. The record is from RNAcentral.